AUAACCACCAAGGGUGGUUAGCAUCAUGUCUAUUUUCACCCUAUGAAAACCUGAAGCCGCUGCUGGAAACAGCCAAUCCGGGGCGGGGAUUCCUGACCCCUGCGAUUUCCCCAAAUGCGGGAAACAUGAAUGCAUAAUUUGUGGUAGUGGGGGACUGCGUUUGUGCUCUCCCGAU
Molecule: small nuclear RNA, 175 nt
Filed under: Sphenodon punctatus (tuatara)
Lineage: Eukaryota; Metazoa; Chordata; Lepidosauria; Sphenodontia; Sphenodontidae
Description: U1 spliceosomal RNA (ENSSPUG00000013626.1)
Rfam family: U1 spliceosomal RNA
About the family: U1 is a small nuclear RNA (snRNA) component of the spliceosome (involved in pre-mRNA splicing). Its 5' end forms complementary base pairs with the 5' splice junction, thus defining the 5' donor site of an intron.
Source: RNAcentral